GACGAACGCUGGCGGCGUGCUUAACACAUGCAAGUCGAACGGAAAGGCCCUGCUUUUGUGGGGUGCUCGAGUGGCGAACGGGUGAGUAACACGUGAGUAACCUGCCCUUGACUUUGGGAUAACUUUAGGAAACUGGGGCUAAUACCGGAUAGGAGCUCCUGCUGCAUGGGGGGGGUUGGAAAGUUUCGGCGGUUGGGGAUGGACUCGCGGCUUAUCAGCUUGUUGGUGGGGUAGUGGCUUACCAAGGCUUUGACGGGUAGCCGGCCUGAGAGGGUGACCGGCCACAUUGGGACUGAGAUACGGCCCAGACUCCUACGGGAGGCAGCAGUGGGGAAUAUUGCACAAUGGGCGGAAGCCUGAUGCAGCAACGCCGCGUGCGGGAUGACGGCCUUCGGGUUGUAAACCGCUUUCGCCUGUGACGAAGCGUGAGUGACGGUAAUGGGUAAAGAAGCACCGGCUAACUACGUG
This 468-nucleotide ribosomal RNA is filed under the name uncultured bacterium. RNAcentral's name for it is "partial 16S ribosomal RNA". It matches the Rfam family "Bacterial small subunit ribosomal RNA", at positions 28 to 507 of the family's 1533-position model. The record is from RNAcentral.